GGCGAACGCUGGCGGCGUGCCUAAUACAUGCAAGUCGAGCGGACGAAUCGAAAGCUUGCUUUUGAUUCGUUAGCGGCGGACGGGUGAGUAACACGUGGGCAACCUGCCCUGUAGACGGGGAUAACACCGAGAAAUCGGUGCUAAUACCGGAUAACACGAAAUGUCGCAUGACGUUUCGUUGAAAGACGGCGCAAGCUGUCGCUACAGGAUGGGCCCGCGGCGCAUUGGCUAGUUGGUGAGGUAACGGCUCACCAAGGCGACGAUGCGUAGCCGACCUGAGAGGGUGAUCGGCCACACUGGGACUGAGACACGGCCCAGACUCCUACGGGAGGCAGCAGUAGGGAAUCUUCCGCAAUGGACGAAAGUCUGACGGAGCAACGCCGCGUGAGCGAAGAAGGCCUUCGGGUCGUAAAGCUCUGUUGUUAGGGAAGAACAAGUAACGCAGUAACUGGCGUUACCGUGACGGUACCUAACGAGAAAGCCACGGCUAACUACGUG
RNAcentral lists this ribosomal RNA (498 nucleotides) under uncultured bacterium. RNAcentral describes it as "partial 16S ribosomal RNA". It matches the Rfam family "Bacterial small subunit ribosomal RNA", at positions 28 to 507 of the family's 1533-position model. The record is from RNAcentral.